UGGGGAAUAUUGCACAAUGGGCGCAAGCCUGAUGCAGCCAUGCCGCGUGUGUGAAGAAGGCCUUCGGGUUGUAAAGCACUUUCAGCGAGGAGGAAGGGUAGUGUGUCAAUAGCACAUUGCAUUGACGUUACUCGCAGAAGAAGCACCGGCUAACUCCGUGCCAGCAGCCGCGGUAAUACGGAGGGUGCAAGCGUUAAUCGGAAUUACUGGGCGUAAAGCGCACGCAGGCGGUUUGUUAAGUCAGAUGUGAAAUCCCCGCGCUUAACGUGGGAACUGCAUUUGAAACUGGCAAGCUAGAGUCUUGUAGAGGGGGGUAGAAUUCCAGGUGUAGCGGUGAAAUGCGUAGAGAUCUGGAGGAAUACCGGUGGCGAAGGCGGCCCCCUGGACAAAGACUGACGCUCAGGUGCGAAAGCGUGGGGAGCAAACA
Molecule: ribosomal RNA, 427 nt
Filed under: uncultured bacterium
Lineage: Bacteria
Description: partial 16S ribosomal RNA
Rfam family: Bacterial small subunit ribosomal RNA
Source: RNAcentral